GACGAACGCUGGCGGCGUGCUUAACACAUGCAAGUCGAACGCUCAGGCUCAGCUUUUGUUGGGUGGAUGAGUGGCGAACGGGUGAGUAACACGUGAGUAACCUGCCCCUUUCUUUGGGAUAACGCCCGGAAACGGGGGCUAAUACUGGAUAUUCACUGGUGUUCCCCCGGGGGCGGGUGGAAAGGGCGUUUCUGGUGGGGGUUGGGCUCGCGGCCUAUCAGCUUGUUGGUGGGGUGAUGGCCUACCCAGGCGUUGACGGGUAGGCGGCCUGAGAGGGUGACCGGUCACAGUGGCACGGAGAUACGGCCUAGACUACGACGCGGGGCAGAAGUGGGGAAUAUUGCACAAUGGGCGACAGCCUGAUGCAGCGACGGCGCGUGAGGGAUGGAGGCCUUAAGGUUGUGAUACUCUUUCGCUAAUGGUCAAGCCGCAACAAUGGUUGUGGUGACGGUAGUGGGUAAAGAAGCGCCGGCUAACUACGUG
This 483-nucleotide ribosomal RNA is filed under the name uncultured bacterium. RNAcentral describes it as "partial 16S ribosomal RNA". It matches the Rfam family "Bacterial small subunit ribosomal RNA", at positions 28 to 507 of the family's 1533-position model. The record is from RNAcentral.